RNAcentral lists this ribosomal RNA (484 nucleotides) under bacterium BCM42. Its description in RNAcentral is "bacterial SSU rRNA". It matches the Rfam family "Bacterial small subunit ribosomal RNA", at positions 51 to 515 of the family's 1533-position model. The record is from RNAcentral.
AACCAUGCAAGUCGAGCGGAACGAGUUAUCUGAACCUUCGGGGGACGAUAACGGCGUCGAGCGGCGGACGGGUGAGUAAUGCCUAGGAAAUUGCCCUGAUGUGGGGGAUAACCAUUGGAAACGAUGGCUAAUACCGCAUGAUGCCUACGGGCCAAAGAGGGGGACCUUCGGGCCUCUCGCGUCAGGAUAUGCCUAGGUGGGAUUAGCUAGUUGGUGAGGUAAGGGCUCACCAAGGCGACGAUCCCUAGCUGGUCUGAGAGGAUGAUCAGCCACACUGGAACUGAGACACGGUCCAGACUCCUACGGGAGGCAGCAGUGGGGAAUAUUGCACAAUGGGCGCAAGCCUGAUGCAGCCAUGCCGCGUGUGUGAAGAAGGCCUUCGGGUUGUAAAGCACUUUCAGUCGUGAGGAAGGUAGUGUAGUUAAUAGCUGCAUUAUUUGACGUUAGCGACAGAAGAAGCACCGGCUAACUCCGUGCCAGCCGC